Molecule: ribosomal RNA, 426 nt
Filed under: uncultured bacterium
Lineage: Bacteria
Description: bacterial SSU rRNA
Rfam family: Bacterial small subunit ribosomal RNA
Source: RNAcentral
GGGGAAUCUUGCGCAAUGGGCGAAAGCCUGACGCAGCAACGCCGCGUGAGUGAAGAAGGCCCUUGGGUUGUAAAGCUCUUUCGGCCAGGAAGAAGGGCGGACGUCGUGAAUAAGGGCGUUGCUUGACGGUACUAGAAGAAGAAGCACCGGCUAACUCCGUGCCAGCAGCCGCGGUAAUACGGAGGGUGCAAGCGUUGUUCGGAAUGACUGGGCGUAAAGCGCACGUAGGCGGGUUCUUAAGUCGGAUGUGAAAUCCCCGGGCUCAACCUGGGAACAGCAUACGAAACUGGAGAUCUUGAAUGCCCGAGAGGCCAGUGGAAUUCCAGGUGUAGGAGUGAAAUCCGUAGAUAUCUGGAGGAACACCAGAGGCGAAGGCGACUGGCUGGCGGUGCAUUGACGCUGAGGUGCGAAAGCGUGGGGAGCAAA